This is a long non-coding RNA of Prinia subflava (tawny-flanked prinia), 542 nucleotides long. RefSeq lists it as uncharacterized. NCBI's taxonomy places the organism in Eukaryota, Metazoa, Chordata, Aves, Passeriformes, Cisticolidae. The transcript is spliced from 2 exons. The record is from RefSeq and is a predicted model, not a curated record.
AAAAUCCAGUCAGGAAACCACCAGUGUUUUUAUUUGAUGGAUAACAAGAGGCAUUUUGGUGCUGUUUUACAGAUAUCCAAAUAUCUGUGUCCGCAGGGCUCUGUUUAACCUGCUCCUGACAGGACCUUUGUGUCCUGCACUCAAAUGCACCAAAAAAAAAGUCCUCGAGAGUCUUUCCAAAGAGUAAAAGCAGAAUUCCAAACCCCAGGGGUGAAUUCCCAAGGCUGCAAUCCCAAUUUGUUGGGUUUUUUUUGGUUCGUUUCAAAUGUGCAGCAAGCGUUGAAGAGAGGAAAAAAAAAAUAUGAUGACUAAGGACCCAAAAGGAAAAUCCAAAACAACACAAAAAAAGGAAGAGGUGGGAAGAUGAUGGACAGUUACUGUGGAAAAUGGAAUUUCAAAAUUAUCCUUUCCCCUGUCCACCCAUAGCCCUGUGCCUGGAAAGGGAAAGGAAGGAGAAGAGGAAGCAAAACUGCGACAGGAGGGAAUCAGACCAUGGACAUGUUGGAAGCUGGAAUAUACAUCCUGCAUUACAAAGUGCAAAA